Molecule: ribosomal RNA, 731 nt
Filed under: uncultured marine bacterium
Lineage: Bacteria
Description: bacterial SSU rRNA
Rfam family: Bacterial small subunit ribosomal RNA
Source: RNAcentral
UGAUCCUGGCUCAGAACGAACGCUGGCGGCAGGCUAAUACAUGCAAGUCGAGCGCGCCUUCGGGGUGAGCGGCGGACGGGUGAGUAACGCGUGGGAAUAUGCCUUCUCUAAGGAAUAGCCUCUGGAAACGGAGAGUAAUACCUUAUACGCCCUUUGGGGGAAAGAUUUAUCGGAGAAGGAUUAGCCCGCGUUAGAUUAGGUAGUUGGUGGGGUAAUGGCCUACCAAGCCUACGAUCUAUAGCUGGUUUGAGAGGAUGAUCAGCCACACUGGGACUGAGACACGGCCCAGACUCCUACGGGAGGCAGCAGUAGGGAAUCUUAGACAAUGGGGGCAACCCUGAUCUAGCCAUGCCGCGUGUGUGAUGAAGGCCCUAGGGUCGUAAAGCACUUUCGCCAGAGAUGAUAAUGACAGUAUCUGGUAAAGAAACCCCGGCUAACUCCGUGCCAGCAGCCGCGGUAAUACGGAGGGGGUUAGCGUUGUUCGGAAUUACUGGGCGUAAAGCGCACGUAGGCGGAUUAGUAAGUUAGAGGUGAAAUCCCAGGGCUCAACCCUGGAACUGCCUUUAAUACUGCUAGUCUUGAGUUCGAGAGAGGUAAGUGGAAUUCCGAGUGUAGAGGUGAAAUUCGUAGAUAUUCGGAGGAACACCAGUGGCGAAGGCGGCUUACUGGCUCGAUACUGACGCUGAGGUGCGAAAGUGUGGGGAGCAAACAGGAUUAGAUACCCUGGUAGU